Molecule: unclassified non-coding RNA, 329 nt
Filed under: soil metagenome
Description: partial contains 5.8S ribosomal RNA, internal transcribed spacer 2, and large subunit ribosomal RNA
Rfam family: 5.8S ribosomal RNA (bases 1-120)
Source: RNAcentral
GAUGAAGAACGCAGCGAAAUGCGAUAACUAAUGUGAAUUGCAGAAUUCCGUGAAUCAUUGAGUCUUUGAACGCACAUUGCACCCUCUGGUAUUCCGGGGGGUAUGCCUGUCCGAGCGUCAUUUCAACCCUCAAGCUCUGCUUGGUCUUGGGCCGCGCCGGCAACGGCGGGCCUCAAAAACAGUGGCGGCGCCAUCUGGUCCCUCAGCGUAGUAAUUCUUCUCGCUGCUGGGCCCCGGUGGCCGCUUGCCAGCAACCCCAAACUUUCUAUGGUUGACCUCGGAUCAGGUAGGGAUACCCGCUGAACUUAAGCAUAUCAAUAAGCGGAGGA